GAGACCCCUACCUCUAGUUGCUACUGUUAUUCUCAGGAGUAAUAGAGCUAAUUAGAGGGACCGCCGCCGCUGAGGCGGAGGAAGGAGGGGGCUACGGCAGGUCAGUAUGCCCCGAAACCCUCGGGCCACACGCGGGCUGCAAUGGUAAGGACAAUGGGCUCCGAUUCCGAAAGGAGGAGGCAAUCCCUAAACCUUACCACAGUUAUGAUUGAGGGCUGAAACUCGCCCUCAUGAAUAUGGAAUCCCUAGUAACCGCGUGUCAUCAUCGCGCGGUGAAUAC
Molecule: ribosomal RNA, 280 nt
Filed under: uncultured archaeon
Lineage: Archaea
Description: partial 16S ribosomal RNA
Rfam family: Archaeal small subunit ribosomal RNA
Source: RNAcentral